GGCAGGUUAGCUCAGUUAGUUGAGCGUAGAACUAACAAUGCUAAGGUUGUGGGUUCAAUUCC
RNAcentral lists this transfer RNA (62 nucleotides) under Apaloderma vittatum (bar-tailed trogon). It matches the Rfam family "tRNA", at positions 1 to 60 of the family's 71-position model. From Rfam's summary of the family: Transfer RNA (tRNA) molecules are approximately 80 nucleotides in length. Their secondary structure includes four short double-helical elements and three loops (D, anti-codon, and T loops). Further hydrogen bonds mediate the characteristic L-shaped molecular structure. tRNAs have two regions of fundamental functional importance: the anti-codon, which is responsible for specific mRNA codon recognition, and the 3' end, to which the tRNAs corresponding amino acid is attached (by aminoacyl-tRNA synthetases). tRNAs cope with the degeneracy of the genetic code in two manners: having more than one tRNA (with a specific anti-codon) for a particular amino acid; and 'wobble' base-pairing, i.e. permitting non-standard base-pairing at the 3rd anti-codon position. The record is from Rfam by way of RNAcentral. Lineage: Eukaryota; Metazoa; Chordata; Aves; Trogoniformes; Trogonidae.